This 1042-nucleotide long non-coding RNA is filed under the name Cricetulus griseus (Chinese hamster). RNAcentral describes it as "lncRNA (ENSCGRG00015030706.1)". Lineage: Eukaryota; Metazoa; Chordata; Mammalia; Rodentia; Cricetidae. The record is from RNAcentral.
CCAAGGGUUGAGCAAAUGGAGCAACCGGAACUGAUCCUAGUUGGUGGGAGUAAAUUGCUAUGAGUACUGUGGAAAAACAGCUGAGUGUUAUUUUGCAAAACCGACACACCCGGUGAGCCAUCAAUUCCAUUCUUAGGUCUGUGCCUCUAAGAAACUCCUGAGCACCUGUACCAGGACUUUAAGAAAUGUUCACAGCUGCCUAGCCUGUGAGACACUGCAGUACCGACUGGUGGUUCCCAGUGUGAGUUAAAGUUCUUGCAACUGCACAGUAGGGAAAGUGAACCAGAGCAGUAGUUCAGAAUAACCUCAGUAUGGGACCAUGGACACAAAACCAUGUGGCUUGCUGAGCUUUGAUGGCGCACACCUUUAAUCCCAGAGGCUGGUCUUGAGCUCAGAGACCCAUAAGCCUCUCCUCCUGAAUGCUGGGAUUAGAUGUGUAUGCCGCCACUUUCAGGCUUCCAGCAAUGCUUCUUGAGUGUGCUCUACUCACCCUGACCCUCACUCUGCUCCCAGUGACUCUCAGAACCCCACAGCUGACAGGGUACCCAUGCCACCCCUACAUAGUGAUGAAACUAAAGAGACAGUCACAGAGGGAUGAUGAUGCCCUAAGACUAGCCCGGGUGUUGGGUAUCUGUGAGUACUCUGAGGUAGAACUCAGUACACAGGAGUACACCUGGUCCAGUGUUUUAUGCCAUUAUUUUGGAAUAAUGGAAAUAUAAAAGAGGAAUUAUGAAGAAACAGAACUGGAACACUUGUGGAUCCAUUGUGUAUUGUCCUGACAAGGGGUGAGGGUUCAGUGAAGCAGGGUGGUUUGUGCAUCUCUCCCUGGAACGUGGCCAUAGCCAGACCCUGCUGUGGCUGCAGCCCCCUGCUUGGUGCCCAAACUGGUGGUGAGAGCUCCUCUGGACUUUCGUUUCUGUGGCUGACAUUUUCCUUCACAGUUCAGAUAUCAGCAGAGGCUGGGACCCAGACAGCUCCAUGCUGUUGCCCCAGCAGCUUGAGGAGCUCCCCUAACCUUUUAGAACAUCAACUUGGCGGGGAA